RNAcentral lists this small nuclear RNA (79 nucleotides) under Homo sapiens (human). RNAcentral's name for it is "partial ncRNA". Lineage: Eukaryota; Metazoa; Chordata; Mammalia; Primates; Hominidae. The record is from RNAcentral.
AGAGAAUCACUUGAGCCCAGGGAGCGGAGGUUGCAGUGAGCCAAGAUCACGCCAUUGCACUCCAGCCUGGGCAACAAGA